Molecule: ribosomal RNA, 450 nt
Filed under: uncultured bacterium
Lineage: Bacteria
Description: partial 16S ribosomal RNA
Rfam family: Bacterial small subunit ribosomal RNA
Source: RNAcentral
GUGGGGAAUAUUGGACAAUGGGCGAAAGCCUGAUCCAGCCAUGCCGCGUGUGUGAAGAAGGUCUUCGGAUUGUAAAGCACUUUAAGUUGGGAGGAAGGGCAGUAAGUUAAUACCUUGCUGUUUUGACGUUACCGACAGAAUAAGCACCGGCUAACUUCGUGCCAGCAGCCGCGGUAAUACGAAGGGUGCAAGCGUUAAUCGGAAUUACUGGGCGUAAAGCGCGCGUAGGUGGUUUUGUAAGUUGGAGGUGAAAUCCCCGGGCUCAACCUGGGAACUGCCUCCAAAACUGCAUGACUAGAGUACGGUAGAGGGUAGUGGAAUUUCCUGUGUAGCGGUGAAGUGCGUAGAUAUAGGAAGGAACACCAGUGGCGAAGGCGACUACCUGGACUGAUACUGACACUGAGGUGCGAAAGCGUGGGGAGCAAACAGGAUUAGAAACCCGGGUAGUCC